GCUGAGUUCUCCCUCCACCGAGCGCAGUGGGACUGCAGGCUCCUGCCCGCGCGCAAGGUACUGGCCGAACGCAACCGUGCAGCUUCUUUUCACCGGUCUCGCGGGUGCCGUGCGUGACUGCAGGGUGCGUGCACACGGACAAGUGUGCCCACGGGCGUCAGUCCUUUCAUGCCGUUCAGGGGCGACGGUGCGGCCCGCCUUUAGGCCCUUAAUGUCAGUUCUAUGUCCAACUCAACCUCAGCGCUUGCAGAUCAGGAAGAUUGUGUGCGGACAGGAUCCGCAGCUGGGUGUAACUGGAACAGAGGCAUGCUUGACUCCUUUGCUUGCACAUCACUUAUUCUUUAUACCUUGAUGAACACUCAGUUAACCAGAUGCAGCUACCUUUCGCACAAGUCACUGCAGGAGCUGAAACAGACGCGGAGAGGUGUGAAUAUUGACGGCAGCCGCCCACCCCCGAGGGCCGCAUGUGUGAAAUCGGGCCGUCCCUCCAGGCCGCUGCACACUCCUGCGAUCUGCGCUGGAAUGUCCGCUGUUUCAAGGUGCUGCCCAGGCCAAAGCAUCGGCCGUCUAGGAGGAACACGGAUUUUUUUGCACAACUCUUUUCUCAUUCAGACCUGCAUGUUUUCGAGGUUUGUGCCCCCGUUUUGUCGAGUGUCUCGUUUACAGAGGUCAUGCGGUUCUGGGAGAGACUGAUGUGAAGAUGUGUGGAAUCUGAUCCAGGCUGGGGAGCUGCUCCAGUGAGAGAGGAGAUGACCGAGCCAUCUGUGCAGGUAGAGUGCAUCUCCUCAGGCCCAGGGCAUUACUGCUACUCUGGUACAUUAAGAGACAGACUCUGCCGCUUGGGUGACCUGCCCUUAACGGAGCGGACAGCAGAUUAACGCCAA
Lepisosteus oculatus (spotted gar) is the source of this 884-nucleotide non-coding RNA. NCBI's taxonomy places the organism in Eukaryota, Metazoa, Chordata, Actinopteri, Semionotiformes, Lepisosteidae. The record is from RefSeq and is a predicted model, not a curated record.